Molecule: ribosomal RNA, 836 nt
Filed under: uncultured bacterium
Lineage: Bacteria
Description: bacterial SSU rRNA
Rfam family: Bacterial small subunit ribosomal RNA
Source: RNAcentral
GGAUUAGGCAUGCAAGUCGAACGAGGGAGUAUUCCGAAAGGAGUACAAAUCGAGUGGCGUAAGGGUGAGUAAUGCAUUGAUAACCUGCCUCUGAGAUGAGGAUAACAACGUUUCAAGUAAUUGAAACUACCGAAAGGGUUGCUAAUACUCAAUAAAACUAUUGUUACUUUUGUAGCGAUAGUCAAAUAGAAGGAGAUGAAAGUUUCCAUUUGCUUAGAGAGGGGUCAAUGUCCUAUCAGCUAGUUGGUAAGGUAAUGGCUUACCAAGGCGAAGACGGGUAGCCGGCCUGAGAGGGUGGUCGGCCACACUGGGACUGAGACACUGCCCAGACUCCUACGGGAGGCUGCAGUCGAGAAUCUUUCGCAAUGCCCGAAAGGGUGACGAAGCGACGCCGCGUGCGGGAAGAAGGCCUUCGGGUUGUAAACCGCUGUCGGGAGUUAAGAAAUGCAAGGAUAUUAAUAGUGUCUUUGCUUGACUAAGGCUCCGGAGGAAGCCACGGCUAACUCUGUGCCAGCAGCCGCGGUAAUACAGAGGCGGCAAGCGUUGUUCGGAAUUAUUGGGCGUAAAGAGCACGUAGGCGGCUAUGUAAGUCGGUUGUGAAAGCCUUCCGCUCAACGGGAGAACAGCAUCCGAUACUGCAUGGCUUGAGUGCGGGAGGGGAGAGUGGAACUUCUGGUGGAGCGGUGAAAUGCGUAGAUAUCAGAAGGAACGCCGGCGGCGAAAGCGGCUCUCUGGCCCGUAACUGACGCUGAGUGUGCGAAAGCUAGGGGAGCAAACGGGAUUAGAUACCCCGGUAGUCCUAGCCGUAAACGAUGGGCACUAAGUAGAGGGGUUUU